UUGCUCAAUCUCAUUCCAUCAAUCCAAACAUAUCCUUAAAAUCAUUUGAAAUUCCAAUCCAAUACCUUUUCUGUUUCACUUAUAACAAGGAUGAGCAUUUACCUUAGUACGUAGCGAGCUGAUCGAGUAGGGUGGAUGAAUUGGCGGGAGAUAUGGAGGAAGGGCGUGAAGGCACAGUCGUCAAUUGGANUAGUUAGUUAGUUAGUUAGGGAUUCAUUCAUACAUAAUUUGAUGAAUUCAUUGAUAAUUAACAAGGUUGGUGCAGUUGACGGACUGAGAAUCGAUUCAGAUCAGGUUUCAAUUUCCUUGCUUCCGCUUUCGAUUAAUUUCAUUUCAUCAAACACCUUUAUCGAUUUACAAUCUGCAUUUAGGAUCACCAGAUAUUGCUUGAUAUGAAAACGUUAUUUAACAUACAUCGAAUAAAUUAUCAAUCUCACUUCAAUUUACUCCUUUAACUUUGUGUUCUGACUUCCGGUACACCUAAAAUGUCCUGCAUUGACGGUGCCGUCUGUGGGAAUCGAACCCCGGUAUUGAAUGAUACUUUAUAUACAACACUCACUCACACUACUCAACCCAACAAGGUGCCUUUUAUAAAGGACAAAAUUGUGAGGGCUCACACACAAUACCAAAAACGAAUAAUAGCUCAGAAACGCGGUGUUGUGGACUUGAGGUCAAAACAUUGGCGCCAUCUAUGGGAACGAACCCACAAGCUUAUGUAGUCUCAGGCUGGAGAUCAAUGGUAGUUUGUAUAUAACACUCACACUUCUCAACCCACCAGUGCACCUUUCUAGGGACAAAUCCGUGAGGGCUUACGGACAAGAUUCAAUAUGGACAAUACCUCAGAAACACAAUGUUGCAGACUUGAGGUUGCAACACUAUGUAUCUACAAUUAAGUAUACAAAAUUCUUCAAUUUAGGGACUACUUGGAACAUUUAUACAGUUUAGAGACUAAAUUGAAAAAUUCUGAUAGUUUAGGACUAAAUUGAUCGUUUAUUCUGAAUGAUACUUGUACAGUCUUUGUGUUAACUAUAUAAAAUAGUAAUAUGAACAUUUUUGUAUUAUCCUAUUUAGAAGGUACAUUUGAUACUUGGAAAGAUGAAGUGGAUGACUACUUGGCUUGUGCAGUUUAGAGCAUAUGCAUCUAAAUGCAUAUAAGGUACGUUGCUCAAUAAUAUCUUUUUACUGUUAACUGUCUUUAUGUACCAUUCUCAACAAAAUAAAUUCCGAGUAACCUUUCAUUUUUCACAUUAUUCGAAUAUAGUCUCUGAUAUGAAAAUCGACUUUUUGUAUAAUGUGUACAUCUGAGAUGAGGCCUAAUGUUUAAAAUCUAGUUGAACAUAAAUACAAAAAUUGACUUUUUGUAUAAUGUGUAUGUACAUCUGAGAUAAGUCUUAUACACUGGCACAAACUUGUUUCCACCAUUUAAUCAAUAUGUCUCACCAUUAGAGGUAGAUACUAGAUAAAAGAAAUUGAAUCAUUGUGUGUAUUUCUAGCCGUCAACCCUUUGAAGUUUGAUCUGUAUCCAUAGUGGCUACUGGCUAGGGUAUGGCAAUAAGACUGUUGUAUUGAAUUUUUGGAAUAUCCCUCAUGCUCCACCUUCUUUUUUUAAGUGACCGUUAAAUAACUUAGUUCUAACCAAUUUGCCUAUAGUUAUAGUCAAAAUAUUCUAUCCAUCUCGUCUAAAAGUUAAUGAUUUAUUUUAUUCAAUGAUGAUACAUAUCAUUUAAAAGAAAAUUGGUUGAUUUUUAUAAUUAAGCAUAGACCUGUAUCCAUGUAGGGAAGAGGCCUAGUCCCAAGCUUAAAUAACAAGCUAAUUGGGUGAAUGCUCAUUUGUCCCAAAUGGCUCCACACCAAGGACAAAUCACUAGUUAGUUGGUAUUAAGUAUUAACUUGGUGAUUAACCUAACAUACAAAAAAUCUUACUUAUUAUAAUAUAAUAAUAUUGGUUGGUGGUUAAUUAAAUUUCCACUAAUAACUAAUUUCUCUACAAGCAGAUGUACACAAAAAUAAAAAUAAGUCAAAAGACGAUCAAUGAAUUUAAAGAAUAAUUAUAAUAUAAUUGAAUCAAAGAAUCGUUAAGUUAGAACAUGAAAGAAAAAAAGAAAAAAAAACUUAGAACAAUUUGCUAGCAAAUUCAUCAACUGUUGUUCCCUCUUCGCGAGAAUAAGCUGAUUUUCUAGCAAGAUCUCUUAAUUGUGACAAACUUCUUCCCAAUUUCAAAGCCAACUUAAUUUCAAACAACUCUCCAUUCUCUCUUUGUUCUUCAUCUUCCUCUAAUAUAUUCUCUUGAAUAGAAUUUUCCAUCAUUUGAAAGAAUCCACCACAGGUUCUAUACAUCUCAGCAACCAUACCAACUUGUCCACCAUGCUCAAAAGAAUUAACUGCUGUUGCCAAUGCUCCAGCCACAACUGGUACUAUAGAUGUCCAUGAACCUUGACCUACAAAAGUGGACCCCACUGCUGCAAUUCCAGUUAGUAAAGGCCCUGCAAUUGCCAAUGUCUUAUUAAUCUUCAACACCAAGUUUCCUAAUCUCUCAUAAUCUUCCAUGUCUUUUCUCUUCAUAACUUCUAAUACAUCUUUUAUUUCAGUUUCUAACCCUUCAUUCCAUCCAUUUUUCUUCCACCCCUUUUGUUUUGUUUCAUUAAUUUGAGAAAUCAUGUUGCUUCUAGUUGACUUUUUUGUAGGCAACCAAUUAGCAGGUUCAUACUUUUGAGGAAAUUUUUCAAUCAUAGCUCCUAACAAAGGCAGUGGAUAAGCUUUAUCAAGUGCUAAAACAUUUGCAAUUGCAUCCUUUACAUAUUCCUUUGUGGGAUUCCCUAUUGCUAUUGUGGUUUCGAUGUUGGACUUGAGCGAUUUAAAUAACCUCGUUGCGUUUCUUUGUUCCUCAGCAAGUUGUGAAGGUUGAAUUUUAUUCAUGAUAAUUAGCAUACCUGUUGAGGCUGUGAAUAAAAGUGCUGAAGAUAAUUUAAGUGCCAAAAGUGGCGCGCCGGAGCCACUUAUGGCUGCAAUACCUGCCAUGGCGGAUGCUGUAAGAGUGAUCAUGUUGAUCGAGUUUAACAAAAGGGUGUUCCAAUUAUUGCGUUGUUCACCAAUGUUUUGAUGCAUUUCUAUUCUAUCGGAUACCGAUUCUAGAAUUGCAUAGAGUUGAGUAAUGGUUUUUGUUUUUGAUGAUGAAGGAGAACUUUUAGGUGAAUAAUACUCAUUUUCUUGGAUCUUAACUGGAAUU
Molecule: long non-coding RNA, 3226 nt
Filed under: Trifolium pratense (red clover)
Lineage: Eukaryota; Viridiplantae; Streptophyta; Magnoliopsida; Fabales; Fabaceae
Description: long non-coding RNA (TPRA_LNC003313)
Source: RNAcentral